AACGAACGCUGGCGGCAGGCCUAACACAUGCAAGUCGAGCGCUCUCUUCGGAGGGAGCGGCGGACGGGUUAGUAACGCGUGGGAAUGUACCCUUCUCUAAGGAAUAGCCAUUGGAAACGAUGAGUAAUACCUUAUACGCCCCCCGGGUCAAACUGGGGGGAAAGAGUUUAUCGGAGAGGGAUCAGCCCGCGUAAGAUUAGAUAGUUGGUGGGGUAAUGGCCUACCAAGUCUACGAUCUUUAGCUGGUUUUAGAGGAUGAUCAGCAACACUGGGACUGAGACACGGCCCAGACUCCUACGGGAGGCAGCAGUGGGGAAUCUUGGACAAUGGGCGCAAGCCUGAUCCAGCCAUGCCGCGUGAGUGAUGAAGGCCUUAGGGUCGUAAAGCUCUUUCGCCAGAAAUGAUAAUGACAGUAUCUGGUAAAGAAGUCCCGGCUAACUCCGUG
Molecule: ribosomal RNA, 445 nt
Filed under: uncultured bacterium
Lineage: Bacteria
Description: bacterial SSU rRNA
Rfam family: Bacterial small subunit ribosomal RNA
Source: RNAcentral